RNAcentral lists this ribosomal RNA (253 nucleotides) under uncultured bacterium. RNAcentral's name for it is "partial 16S ribosomal RNA". It matches the Rfam family "Bacterial small subunit ribosomal RNA", at positions 524 to 776 of the family's 1533-position model. The record is from RNAcentral.
UACGUAGGCAGCAAGCGUUGUUCGGAAUUACUGGGCGUAAAGAGUGUGUAGGCGGUGCUCUAAGUCUGUUGUGAAAUCUCCCGGCUUAACCGGGAGGGUGCGGCGGAGACUGGAGUGCUAGAGUGUGGGAGAGGUAAGCGGAAUUCCUGGUGUAGCGGUGAAAUGCGUAGAUAUCAGGAGGAACACCUGUGGUGUAGACAGCUUACUGGACCACGACUGACGCUGAGACACGAAAGCGUGGGUAGCAAACAGG